Hemicordylus capensis (graceful crag lizard) is the source of this 4850-nucleotide long non-coding RNA. RefSeq lists it as uncharacterized. The transcript is spliced from 2 exons. NCBI's taxonomy places the organism in Eukaryota, Metazoa, Chordata, Lepidosauria, Squamata, Cordylidae. The record is from RefSeq and is a predicted model, not a curated record.
UGGGAAGGAGAAAGAGCUUGCAGUGGGCUGCAGAAGCCUGCUGGGAGUAACGAGAAGGACUUUCCUUGAUUUUCAGGGGCAUCUUUGAGUCCGAAGCAGGGUGCAAGAGGCCGGCGCUGCAUGAAGGGCUGCACGUGUUCUUACACACAGACACACACGGAUCACGUGCCAGCCUGAAGGACUCCUUCCUGGCUGCUGAGUGCUUGGGAGAAAGAGCCAGGUAAAUGUUGGGAGAGGAAGAAGGAUAGAAGCCCAGCAGAGGGUGCUGCUAGAUGGGGAAAAAGGAAACAAGAGAGUCUAAAAACUGGAGAAAAAUUGAAGAACAGGAAUGAAUAACCUGUUUUUCAGCAUGUAAUGCAGCAAAUAUUACAUCAAGCAGGAGAAAUAAGCCUGUGUGUAGGAAAAACUUCUCUUCUGAAACCAGCUUUCAACUUUAGAGGGAAAUGAAUGCAAGGAAGAAACCACAUAAAUGCCUGGACUGUGGAAAGAGCUUCAACCAGAGAGCACAUCUUACUGUACACCAUAGAAUCCACACUGGGGAGAAACCCCAUCAAUGCCUGGAGUGUGGAAAGAGCUUCAUCACGAGUGGACAUCUUAAUAGACACCAUAGAACGCACACUGGGGAGAAACCACAGAAAUUCCUGGAGUGUGGAAAAAGCUUCUGCAGGAGAGGACAUCUUAAUAGACACCAUAGAAUCCACACUGUAGAGUAACCACAUAUACGCCUGGAUUGUGGAAAGAGCUUCAGCAGGAGUGGACAUCUUAAUACACACCAUAGAACGCACACUGGGGAGAAACCACAUGAAUUCCUGGAGUGUGGAAAGAGCUUCGGCACGAGUGGACAUCUUAAUACACACCAUAGAACCUACACUGGGGAGAAACCACAUAAAUGCCUGGAGUGUGGAAAGAGCUUCAGUACGAGUGGACAUCUUAAUACAAAUCAUAGAACCCACACUGGGGACAAACCACAUAAAUGCCUGGAGUGUGGAAAGAGCUUCACCUCUCGUGGAGCUCUUACUGUGCACCAUAGAACCCACACUGGGGAGAAACCACAUAAAUGCCUGGAGUGCGGAAAGAGUUUCAGCACAAGUGAAGAUCUUAAUACACACUAUAGAACGCACACUGGGAAGAAACCACAUAAAUGCCAGGAGUGUGGAAAGAGCUUCACCACGAGUGGAGACGUUAAUACACACCAUAGAACGCACACUGGGGAGAAACCACAUAAAUGCCUGGAGUGUGGAAAGAACUUCAGCACGAGGGGAGACCUUAAUACACACAAUAGAAUGCACACUGGGGAGAAAGCACAUAAAUGCCUGCAGUGUUGAAAGAACUUCAGAACAAGUGGAGACCUAUAUAGACACCAUAGAACCCACACGGGGGAGAAACCACAUAAAUGCCUGCAGUGUGGAAAGUGCUUCACCAUGAGUGGAGACCUUAAUACACACCAUAGAACCCACACAAGAGAAACCACAUAAAUGCCUGGAGUGCGGAAAGAGCUUCAGCAUGAAGGAAAUCUUUAUAGACACCAUAGAAACUACACUGCUGAGAAACCACAUAAAUGCCUGGAGUGCGGAAAGAGGUUCAGCACGAGUGGAGACCUUAAUACACACCAUAGAACCACACUGGGGAGAAACCACAUAAAUGCCUGGUGUGUUGAAAGAACAGCGUGGUGUAGUGGUUAGCAUGCUGGACUAGGACCGGGGAGACCCGAGUUCAAAUCUCCAUUCAGCCAUGAAACUAGCUGGGUGACUCUGGGCCAGUCACUUAUCUCUCAGUCUAACCUACUUCACAGGGUUGUUGUGAGGAGAAACUCAAGUAUGUAGUACAUCGCUCUGGGCUCAUUGGAGGAAGAGCGGGAUAUAAAUGUAAAAAUAAAUAAAUUAAAUAAAAGUGGAGACCUAUAUAGACACCAUAGAACCCACACUGGGGAGAAACCACAUAAAUGCCUGCAGUGUGGAAAGUGCUUCACUAUGAGUGGAAAUUUUUAUAAACAAUUUUUAUAAACAAUUUUUAGAACCCAGACUGGGGAGAAUCCACAUAAAAGUUCCAAUUGCAGAAGUACAAGUGCAAUAACUAGUCAGCAAGUCUGUACACAAUUGUCUGUCUGAAGCAGAGGUGUCUUGUUAUUCAUGAAUAACACAAAAAACUUUUUGAAUUUGAUCUUUGGAUCAAUUCUAUCCACUCUUCUAUUAAAUUCACUAUGGUCUCUAAUUUACAUAAAAUAGCAUUUUUGGACACAUACAUUAACAUAGGACAAGACAGGUCUAUCUUCUUUCAACUUCAUCGAAAACCUACAGACAAGAACAUGCUUCUCCAUUUUGAUUCAUGGCAUCCAGAUCAUUUACGGAAAGGACUUCCUUAUAGCCAAUUUUUACAACUAAAAAGGAAUGCUACUCAUCAUUUGGAUUUUGAAAAAGAGGUACACACUCUCACGAAUCAAUUGCAAGACAGGGGUUACCCGAAACAGAUCAUCAAUGCAGCCAAGAUAAAGGCAGAUCGAAUAAGUAGAAGCUGGCUUUUGGAGGAGAGACCGCACAAAAAUAAAAUGUCUAACCGACUCAUAUGGUCCUCACAUUUUACGCCCUUGAGCUUUACAAUCAAGAACAUCAUCCGACAGGAAUGGUGUAUUGUAAAAGACAUUCCAGGGUGCACAUUACCACCGAUUUUUGCCUUCAAAAAAACCAAAAGUAUUAGAAAUAUCUGACAAAAGCAGACAUGUAUGUGAAUCCAACUACAAAUGAACCCGUAAUGGGGUUCUAUCGGUGUGGUCAUUGCGCUGCUUGCAAACUAGCUGUGGAGAUAAAGGAAUUGUAUAUCACUCGGGAGAAACGUAAUGUUAAAUUGUCUUUCUUCGCCAAUUGCAGCAGCAAGAACAUUAUCUACAUGAUUACAUGCCCCUGUGGUCUUAAAUAUAUAGGCAAAAGCACUAUAUAUGCGGUUAGGACCAGGAUUCUAGAACAUCGGUCUAGAAUCAAAUACAAUGUUUUGGAGGCUCCCCUGAUGGAACAUUUUCGAUCUUGUUCACAUUCUCCUGAAGAUAUUAGGUUCAGUGUCAUCUUUAGACAUCCGCCUCGAAGAUUUGAGUAUGAGGACAUUGAUUCUUUUCUUCUUAAAAUGGAAUCCUUUUUUAUAUACAAACUCAAUACAGUUGUUCCCCAUGGUUUGAACUCAUCAUGCAAUUUGGCAGUAUUUCUUUAAGAUAUGUCUGGUUGAUGAGUAUACAUGUAGGAUAUACUGUGGCAUUUUCCCUGUUUUUGAUACUUAAGUUAUGUUUUUGAAAAUAAUUCCUGCAAAGGAUAUGAUAACACUUCCCCAAUGAAAUUGGUAUUUUGAGCAGAGUUACUAACAAUUUACAGGAUGACAAUAUCAUACAUUUUCUAGAGCCUUUGUGGCAAUAAUUUUGUGACAAUAUUUUUUGUGACAUAUAUCAGACUGAUUAUUACAGUCUGUAACAUUUUAGAAUUAUGUUUCUAUUAACUGGCAAGUUUCAUGGUUUUUGUGAGCCAAGCAUUAUGUUCAAGGUCAUUGUUGAUGACUGAUAAAGUAGACAUACUGUAACAUACGUAAAAUGAGAGUGUUACACACCAUUUUGUUUUAUAAAAGUGGGCACACUUUAUUCUGAUAUAUGAAUUUGGGAACUAUAGUCCUUAUGCCAGUAUAAGCUGUUGAUUAUUGAAUUUUUCUGGGAAUGUUAACAAAUGCGUUCACAGAUGGUUGUUUUUAAAGUGAGAACUAACAGUAGAUUAUUGCAGAUUGACUACAGUAUGUUAUUGGUGAAUGUAUCAUGUCAGGAAUGUCAACAAGCAGUAAUUAUAGCUGCUUUUUUUAAAGUAAGAACCAACAGCAAUGAUGUUUCGAUAUUACAUUCCAUUGAGAAUGUUAACAACUACUGUUACAUGUACUUGGUCUUUUAAAAUAAGAGUUACUAGCAGGUCAAUAAUGAUUGUUAUAGGCAUUUGUUCUCCUAAAGUAAGAGUUAACAACAGAUUGAUGUAUUGUGUUGACUAUAGUAUCAGCAUAAGUGUGCCGACAAUGUGAAUGAUUUACUCUAUGAAUAACAGACCACAGCUGUUUUGUUUAUGGAAUUAACCACUCAGUGUGAUUAAAGUGAUACUCCCUGCUAAUCACCACACCUUCAAGUAGCGGGCUAUAUAAUGCUAAUCACCAUGCCUUUAAUUAGUGGGCUAUAUAAUACAGAGCCCCAUGAGCUGAUUAGCCAUUGAAUGAUUUGUCUUCCCAAAGUGAGAUGUAGGAGGAUAGAGCUCUCAAAAAAAAUACUUUUGGAGGAAAUGGGUAUGUGCUAAUGGGCGUAUAGAGAGGAGGUUUUGGAUGACAUUAUGAUGUUUGUUGGAUGAUGUAAUCAGCUGCAGAACUGUUCUUGUGCUCACACUUCCAGAAGCUUUGCAGCUCUGAUGAAGAAUGUUUGAAAUGGGCUGGAGAAUUUCCUGGGUUCGCCCAUCAGCUCUGCUAGCUCUGCCUCAGACAGACAAUUGUGUACAGAUUUGCUGACUAGCUAUUGUAAUUGUUAUUUCUGCAACUGGAACUUUUGCAGUUUAUUUUCAUGAAUAACAAGACAGCUCUGCUUCAGACAGACAAUUGUAUACAGACUUGCUGACUAGUUAUUGCACUUGUACUUCUGCAAUUGGAACUUUUGCAGUUUUUUUUCAUGAAUAACAAGACUUUCCUGUACCAAUUGAUCAUUUGGAUGUUCAGGACCUACGUUUACCAUGUACUAUUUACACUUAUUGCAUUUAUGCAGUUAAAGUUCAAGUGAUCUGUAUAUCAAAAACCCUUCGUGGUCUUUUUUUCCGCAUAUAUUCAAAAAAAUAAUAAUGGAUAUUUUCACAACA